RNAcentral lists this non-coding RNA (29 nucleotides) under Mus musculus (house mouse). The record is from RNAcentral. RNAcentral also lists the same sequence under 1 other name. Lineage: Eukaryota; Metazoa; Chordata; Mammalia; Rodentia; Muridae.
UGACCUUGAACUCCCAAGUCUCUUCCCCU